Molecule: ribosomal RNA, 253 nt
Filed under: uncultured bacterium
Lineage: Bacteria
Description: partial 16S ribosomal RNA
Rfam family: Bacterial small subunit ribosomal RNA
Source: RNAcentral
UACGGAGGGAGCUAGCGUUGUUCGGAAUUACUGGGCGUAAAGCGUGCGCAGGCGGUUCGUUGUGUCGGCGGUGAAAGCCCCGGGCUUAACCUGGGAAUGGCCGCCGAAACUGGCGAACUGGAGUGUGGCAGAGGGGGGUGGAAUUCCGCGUGUAGCAGUGAAAUGCGUAGAGAUGCGGAGGAACACCGAUGGCGAAGGCAGCCCCCUGGGCUGACACUGACGCUCAGGCACGAAAGCGUGGGGAGCGAACAGG